GUUGCACUGGAGAAUCUAAACUCUUUUGGAGAUGUCCCAAGGCCUAACCUGCACCUCUUCACAGCAUAGGCAAGAAAAUUCUGUCUGACCUUUCUGCCGGGAGGAGGGAAUGUUUAGGUAAAAAUGAGAAACCUAUGAAAUCAGCCACCAACAUGGCUGUGUCACUUUGGUGCUCCCACAACAACUUGAAGCAUUUUUCAUAUUAAACUUAAUAGCUGACCUGUC
This 225-nucleotide long non-coding RNA is filed under the name Homo sapiens (human). RNAcentral's name for it is "non-protein coding lnc-METTL15-2:4". Lineage: Eukaryota; Metazoa; Chordata; Mammalia; Primates; Hominidae. The record is from RNAcentral.